Molecule: long non-coding RNA, 1313 nt
Organism: Mirounga angustirostris (Northern elephant seal)
Lineage: Eukaryota; Metazoa; Chordata; Mammalia; Carnivora; Phocidae
Exons: 3
Source: RefSeq, a predicted model, not a curated record
GGGGUCUGAACUAAGGCCUGCCGGUGAGGUGGGGCUGAACUCCAGGAACCCCGGAAGGCUCCACCUUUUCAGGAACUUGUCAUCAUUAGGGUCUUCCCCAGAGGCAAAGGUAAUUUGUUAUCAUCACUGGUCUGCUCACCUAGGGUUAAGGAAGGAGAAAUGUGAACUCUGUGGAGUGAUGUGGCCUCGCAGUGUGACCGGGCUCCCUGCUGCUGAAGUUUGAUUGAUUUGACUGACAGUGUGAUUGUUGGAGAAGGUCAAUGGAGAGGAAGUAACCUCUGUUGACCUGAGAGCUGAACCCAGGCAAUCGUAGGUCCCUCACCCCCCACCCCUCCCCUGUCAUUGGAAUGUACAUUCUGCUCACUGUUCCCACAAUGGAGCCACUUCAAGGACACAGCCUUGGGAGAGCAAUGUGUUGUUGAGACCAUCUGGACUGAAAGUGUGGCUGAACCCAGUUAAGGCCUCUGUAUAAACUUAGAAGAUUCUGGCAGGUGGGCAUGGAGAUCUACCUGUCUUUCGGCCACCCAAGCCAAGUAUGGUCUCUCAGUCCCCUUGCUUAGUCAACCUGCCACCUACCAAUCUGGAGUGGCCUUUCUUCCCUCUCUGCUGACCCUCCACGUUCGGGCCAGUUUGUGAACCAACAGUGAUCUACGGUGAAACAUUUGAACCUCUUUAGGAGCUGAGUAAGAGCCUGAAGCAAGUAGACAAAUUGAAAUUAUUUUCUCAGCCUGUGAGAAAGAGAAUGGUCUGAGGAGAGUCCUGCCAGAAAGGAAAAUUCUCUCAUGCUGGUUCUUCAUGAAAAACCUCUCUGGAAUAAUGCUUUGGGGUCAGGGUCCUGGGGUCCAUUUGGUUUAGUUCAGGCAGAUUUGAGACACAAGUCGGUGUGGCCCACAUGCCCAGUGUCCAGCUGCAUAGUCAUCUGACCGCAGGCUCCUACAUCACAUGAAUUCAGGAACUCACCUCACACCAGAUCAUGUCUGGCUGCCAUUUUAUGUCCCUGCUAACCUCACUUGGGUGGCAACAGAAGACAGAUGAAAGAAUGGAUGAAAAUAUUGCUCUGUAGUAAGAUGGAAGAGGCUGUGUAAAGCUAACAAAGAAACUUACAAAGAAAAUUGGCUUGAAAUUCUGCUUAAAAGGGACUAAACUUCACUGCAACGGACGUAAGACAACAUACUGAAAAGCCAAACCUCUUUCAUCUGUGACUAAAGCUCUGAAGUUCAGGGGCCUGUAUUCAGAGUCUGUUCAGAUUUGAAACAUCACAAGUGAUUCAUUAUUUAUAUUUGCACAGGAAAGAGAAGCUCCUCUAACCUGCA